CUCAAAGAUUAAGCCAUGCAAGUGGUUAUAUUAACCCGACAGUUUAAAUAAGUGUUAAAAUGCUACUAAUUUUAAACAAUACACGCAAUUUUUUUGUUUACAGUAGUAACAAAAAUAAAAGCGUGAUUCACUCAUAGUGAUUCACUAUUUUAUUUAUUUAAAUAGUAUCACUUACGCAACUGCGGACAGCUGCUUAAUACAGUCACACUUGUCUUGACUUGGCGCAAUAAAAAAUGUUAACGCAUAAUUUUUUUAAACGCACAAAUUUUUUUUUACACACACACACAUUAAUUUUUGUGCGCGAAAAAAAUUGUUACAUUUUUUUUUUUAAAAAAAUUUUUUUUUUGCUGUGUAUUUUUAUACGUCGCAUAAAAUUUUUUUUUAAUAGAUUUCUCUGUAACGUUUAUUCUCAAAGACUAUUAUUACGUUACACCGUGAAAAUUUCUUUUUGGAUAACUCAGGGAAAGUUUGGCUAAUACGUACGAGUAUAAUUUAAUACACACACACACACAUCUUUUAUACUACUCAGCACAUAUUGGUAAAUUUUGGCUCAUUCGUGAGUCAGUUUAAAAUUUAACUGCAACAUGAGAGACAAUAUGUACGCACGUAUGAAAUACUUCGGUAUUUUAUACACUACGCUGAGCAGACUUUGCGAAGUUUACUUUGCGAAGCAGGUCAUACAAGCAUCUACAGCAUCAAGUCACAGGGUUGGCAAGUGUAUUUUUGAACCUUCAAAGCAGUCACGCAUACGGAAGAGUAGUUUCUGAUCCCAUAGAAGGAGCACCGUACAUUGAGAGACCGCUCUUAGUUCUAAGGAACGCAGCAGGCGCGUAAAUUGCCCAAUGCUAGUACCCUACAAUAUAUUUUAUAUUAUAUUAUUACAAGCAUUAUUAAACAAUUUACACAUAAAAACAUAAAAUUUUUUAAUUUUAGCCUAACAUUAUAACACUUUCAAUUUUUACUGUUUAAAAUUAAAUUAUCCUUGUUUACUGUGUACACAUUAUUUAAUAUAUAUACAAAUAUAUUAUUUACUGAGGCAGUGACAAGCUGUAACGGUUGAGUAUAAAAAUGACGAGUGUCUGGCAUAGCCGUCUGCUUCGGUAGGCUUGGCUGUUCGCCGACGCUUUGUGUGCUCAAUUGGAAUGCGGUGAGUUUAAGCAACUCAGAACCUUUGUAUGGUGUUUGUAAAAUUUCACUAUGCAUGUAUCUGAAUUUCAAGUGGAGGGCAAGUCUGGUGCCAGCAGCCGCGGUAAUACCAGCUCCACUGGCCUAUACAAUCAUUGUUGCGGUUAAGAGGCUCGUAGUUGGAUUGAACUGCAAAACAAUUUAAAAAAAAUUAAAUUUUAUUAUUUAAUUUUUUGUUUAGCAUGUUUUACGCAUAAAAUUUUUUUUUAAAAUUUUUAUUGCGUUCGACGUCUGUUAAAUAAAAAAAUUUAUGCAUAGCAUAUUUUUUUCACACACACAAAUAAUUUAUGCUAUAUAUAUAAAUUUUUACACUAAUUUACUGCGUAAAAAAUAUAUUUUUUUUAAUAAUGAUUUAAUUUUUACAAUUUUCAACACUGUGAACAAAUCAGAGUGUAUCAAACAUGUCGUUUUUGAAUGUGCAUUGAAUGUCUUAUCAUGGAAUGUUGCACUUUCGCUUUAAAAAAUUUAUCGUACGUAAAAAUUUAAUUUUUACCGCUGCGAAGUCAUGCUUUUAAUACACACGCAAAAAAAAAAUUAUUACGCGUGUAAAUUUCUUAACAGUUAAAAAUGUCGAUGGGGAUAGUUGGAGUCAAGAGUACUGUUGGGCGAGAGGUGAAAUUCAUUGACCCUAGCAAGACUACCAAAAGCGAAAGCACUUGGCUAGGCUAUACUCUUUGUGAUUAUUUAUAUAAUAAAUAUAUCGCGUAAUUAUUCAUUUACACACACACACACAAAUUUUUUUUACGCGUAUAUAAAUAUAUAUAAAUUAAUACACUUUACAAUGAAGAACGAAGGUUGGGGGAUCAAAGAGGAUCAGAUACCCUCGUCGUCCCAUUAAUUACAUCAAACGAUGGGCUCUCAAUUGCAUUUAUUUAUUAAAUUGCUAAUGCCCUCAGCCUACAAAAUAACUUGGCUUGAGCUCGUAAUUUUAUUAUUACGCUCGCCUAAUUUUUUUCGUACGGUCUCGAUGGACGUUUCAUUUAAACUUUUUUUUGCGUGUAAGCAUAUGUUAUUCUUUGAAACAUAAGAAUGCAUGGCGUGCACUUGAUUUUCGGAGCUUUGCGCUCAAUUCUGGUGAGAUGUAAGCACUGUGUCAUACUGCCCGCAACUUUUAUCUUCGGAUAAUUUGUUUGUCGUGUGCAGUUGACAAAUUUUGGUGUGAAGCACGCUUUAGGCACGCGCUUACUGCAGAAAUGUCUGAGACAUUCCCUUCCGGGGGUAGUAUGCACGCAAGUGUGAAACUUGAAGGAAUUGACGGAAGGGCACCACAAGAACGCGUGGAGCAUGUGGCUUAAUUUGACUCAACGCGGGAAAUCUUACCGGGUCCGGACACACUGAGGAUUGACAGGCAAUAUUGAAAUUAUUGCAUUUAUGCAAUAUUUCAUGUUAAAUAUGCUAGUCCUUUCAUGAUUAUGUGAUAGGUGGUGCAUGGCCGUUCUUAGUUCGUGGAGUGAUCUGUCUGCUUAAUUGCGUUUCACUAAGGGCUUAUUAAUUACGUGUGUUGUAGGUACUUUGACCCCUAUGUUGAAAUAUUACAUAGUGCGUGUCUUAGUUUGCUUUUACUCACACAAUUAAGUCCUGAAAGCAACGAACGUGACCGCAACCUCUUGUUGCCUUUAUUUUAUAAUGUAUUUUGUUAAUAUUUAUAUUGCAAGUGCAUGAAAAAAGGCUUUUUAAACUAGAGGGACCGCUGUAACUUUUUUAAACCAGAGGAAGGUUGCGGCAAUAACAGGUCUGUGAUGCCCUUAGAUGUUCCGGGCUGCACACGUGCUACAAUGAUUAUUGCAGUGAGCAUCUCAUUUUAUUACACCGCCUGCGCGUGUCCAAUUAUUUGCAUACUUAUGUGUGUACUUUAAUUGUGUUACAUUGCGCGCGGUAAAGCCUGCUUCGAAAGUAAGUGGGUAAUCAAUUAGAAGUAAUGAUUUCCCUAUUUAUAGCACACAUAUAUGCGGCAUCUUUACCCGGGUUAAGCUUGUCUUAACUUUUGUGUGUAUCGAUGUUUUUUCCGCAUGUGCAAUUGUCAAUUCAUGGUGGGGACAGACCAUUGUUAAUUGUUGGUCUCGGUCUUAACUAGGAAUGCCUUGUACGGGUCUUUGGUUCAACAAACCACCCGGAAUACGUCCCUGCCCUUUGUACACACCGCCCGUCGCUCUUACCGAUGGACUUCUCUGUGAGUUUGAGGGACUGGAUACUGUAAUAAUUUAUUAUUACUAACCAUCUAUGGAAACUUAAACGAACAGUGUGGUCUAAAGGAAAGAGAAGUCGUAACAAGGCAUCGGUAGGUGAACCU
RNAcentral lists this ribosomal RNA (3475 nucleotides) under Trochammina hadai. Its description in RNAcentral is "small subunit ribosomal RNA". The stretch from base 1104 to 3475 matches the Rfam family "Eukaryotic small subunit ribosomal RNA". The record is from RNAcentral. Lineage: Eukaryota; Foraminifera; Textulariida; Trochamminidae.